This 428-nucleotide ribosomal RNA is filed under the name uncultured Acidobacterium sp. Its description in RNAcentral is "bacterial SSU rRNA". It matches the Rfam family "Bacterial small subunit ribosomal RNA", at positions 958 to 1385 of the family's 1533-position model. Lineage: Bacteria; Pseudomonadati; Acidobacteriota; Terriglobia; Terriglobales; Acidobacteriaceae. The record is from RNAcentral.
AACGCGAAGAACCUUACCUGGGCUCGAACGGCUGGUCAACGGAGGUGGAAACAUCUUUACCCCGCAAGGGGGUCCAGUCGAGGUGCUGCAUGGCUGUCGUCAGCUCGUGUCGUGAGAUGUUGGGUUAAGUCCCGCAACGAGCGCAACCCUUGUCCUGUGUUGCCAUACCGAAAGGUGGAACUCGCAGGAGACCGCCAGCGAUAAGCUGGAGGAAGGUGGGGAUGACGUCAAGUCCUCAUGGCCUUUAUGUCCAGGGCUACACACGUGCUACAAUGGACGGUACAAAGCGUCGCUAACCCGCGAGGGGGAGCCAAUCGCAAAAAACCGUUCUCAGUUCGGAUUGCAGGCUGCAACCCGCCUGCAUGAAGCUGGAAUCGCUAGUAAUGGCAGAUCAGCACGCUGCCGUGAAUACGUUCCCGGGCCUUGUA